This 849-nucleotide ribosomal RNA is filed under the name uncultured bacterium. RNAcentral's name for it is "bacterial SSU rRNA". It matches the Rfam family "Bacterial small subunit ribosomal RNA", at positions 8 to 872 of the family's 1533-position model. The record is from RNAcentral.
GAUAGUUUGAUCCUGGCUCAGGACGAACGCUGGCGGCGUGCUUAACACAUGCAAGUCGAACGGAAAGGUCCUUUCGGGGUACUCGAGUGGCGAACGGGUGAGUAACACGUGGGUGACCUGCCCUGCACUUUGGGAUAAGCCUGGGAAACUGGGUCUAAUACCGAAUAGGACCACGCGCUUCAUGGUGUGUGGUGGAAAGCUUUUGCGGUGUGGGAUGGGCCCGCGGCCUAUCAGCUUGUUGGUGGGGUAAUGGCCUACCAAGGCGACGACGGGUAGCCGGCCUGAGAGGGUGACCGGCCACACUGGGACUGAGAUACGGCCCAGACUCCUACGGGAGGCAGCAGUGGGGAAUAUUGCACAAUGGGCGCAAGCCUGAUGCAGCGACGCCGCGUGAGGGAUGACGGCCUUCGGGUUGUAAACCUCUUUCAAUAGGGACGAAGCGCAAGUGACGGUACCUAUAGAAGAAGCACCGGCCAACUACGUGCCAGCAGCCGCGGUAAUACGUAGGGUGCGAGCGUUGUCCGGAAUUACUGGGCGUAAAGAGCUCGUAGGUGGUUUGUCGCGUUGUUCGUGAAAACUCACAGCUUAACUGUGGGCGUGCGGGCGAUACGGGCAGACUAGAGUACUGCAGGGGAGACUGGAAUUCCUGGUGUAGCGGUGGAAUGCGCAGAUAUCAGGAGGAACACCGGUGGCGAAGGCGGGUCUCUGGGCAGUAACUGACGCUGAGGAGCGAAAGCGUGGGGAGCGAACAGGAUUAGAUACCCUGGUAGUCCACGCCGUAAACGGUGGGUACUAGGUGUGGGUUCCUUCCUUGGGAUCCGUGCCGUAGCUAACGCAUUAAGUACCCGC